AUGGCUAAAAGAGGCAGUGCCGACAACACUAAGGCACACGUCACAGACGGCUGCCUUCGGUGGCUAGACACGAAGCCGGCCAGCUCGGUGGUGUACGUCUCCUUCGGCACGUUCACCACUUUCUCGCCGGCCGAGCUGCGGGAGCUCGCCCGCGGCCUGGACCUCUCGGGCAAGGACUUCGUGUGGGUCAUCAGUUCCGUCGCGGGCAGUGGCACCGACGGUUCAGAGUGGAUGCCUGAGGGCUUCGCCGAGCUGAUGGCACGCAGCGACCGCGGCAUCAUCAUCCGAGGCUGGGCGCCGCAGACUCUCAUCCUCAACCACCCGGCCCUCGGUGGGUUCAUGACGCAAUGUGGCUGGAACUCGGCGCUGGAGGCCGUGAGUGCCGGCGUGGCGAUGGUCACGUGGCUGCGGUACCCGGACCAGUUCUACAACCAGAAGCUCAUCGUGGAGGUGCUCAGGGUGGGCGUCAGCAUCAGCGCCAAGGACUACACGUGGCCUCUAGAGCCCCAUGAGGUGAUCGGCGGCAAGGUGAUCGCUGGAUCCAUCGGCAGACCGAUGGGCAGCAGCGAGGAGGGCGACGCGGACGCCGUACGGAAGAAGGCCAAGGACCUGAGUGUGAAAGCAAAGAGCGCCAUGGAGAAGGGUGGAUCUUCGUACAGCGACGUUGGAAGCCUGAUGGAUGAGUUGAUGGCCCGCCGGAGCUCGGGAGAAGACACCCGACUAAUCUUACAGAAGUGA
Molecule: ribosomal RNA, 738 nt
Filed under: Triticum aestivum (bread wheat)
Lineage: Eukaryota; Viridiplantae; Streptophyta; Magnoliopsida; Poales; Poaceae
Description: partial small subunit ribosomal RNA
Source: RNAcentral